UGUUAAGGCAGUAACAGGUGUAACAGGCAUUGAAAGGUGUAACAGUCAUAAACAAGUGAAACAGGUAUAAAUAGGUGUAACAGGCAUAAACAGGUAUCACAGACAUAUACAGGUGUAACGGGUAAAUUGCUAUAACAGGUGUAACAGGUGUAAAUAGGUGUAAAAGGCAUAACAGGUGAAUAUAAGUGUAACAAGUGUAACUGGUGUAACAGGUGUAACUGGUGUGAGUAGGUGUAACUGGUGUAACAGGUGUGAGUAGGUGUAACAGGUGUAAAUAGGUGUAACAGGUGUAACUGAUGUACAUAGGUGUAACAGGUGUAAAUAGGUGUAACUGGUAUAACAGGUGUGGGUAGGUGUAACAGGCAUAAAUAGGUGUAACUGGUGUAACAGGUGUAACAGGUGUGAGUAGGUGUAACAGGUGUAACUGAUGUACAUAGGUGUAACUGGUGUAACAGGUGUGAGUAGGUGUAACCGGGCUCACUCUGAGGGUGCAGAUGGAGACCUUGUCCAGGGCCACAGCUCUGUCAAUGCUUCUGUAAUCGGGCUCCCUGCAGUA
Anguilla rostrata (American eel) is the source of this 556-nucleotide long non-coding RNA. RefSeq lists it as uncharacterized. The transcript has 3 exons. The record is from RefSeq and is a predicted model, not a curated record. Lineage: Eukaryota; Metazoa; Chordata; Actinopteri; Anguilliformes; Anguillidae.